Non-coding RNA from Heteronotia binoei (common prickly gecko), 134 nucleotides. RefSeq annotates it as small Cajal body-specific RNA 24. The record is from RefSeq and is a predicted model, not a curated record. Lineage: Eukaryota; Metazoa; Chordata; Lepidosauria; Squamata; Gekkonidae. The transcript has a single exon.
UGGAUGCUUAAAAUUUUUUCAGUGUCUCCUUUUUGUGGUGAUAACUGUAAAAAAGGUAUCCUAUAGUAACAUAGGAGCUUUCUGGUCAACCCUGGGUAGUUUCACAGGGCUGGAUCGUUCCACUUCUGACAAAU